AUGCCCAGGCGGGACCCCGCAGUGCCCCGGUCUGGCUUGGACCUUAGCAUUGGGAAGCUGAAUCGUCACUGUCCUCUACUCUCCCGAGACCCACUGAAAAUGAACAUAUCUGAGCACUUGAAAUCAUGUAGCUUUCUUCUUACUUGUGCAAGAAUUACCUGCAUGGAUCCUACAUUAUGGAAAAUCUGCAAAGAUGUUCCUUGUAUGUUUUGAAGGUCUUGGAUUCAUGCUUAAGGACUGACAAGCAGCUGCAAUAAUGAGGUGUAAUAAAUCAGGUGCUGAGCUCAUGGCAGGAGUUACAAAUUAUUCAAGACUUUCACACAGAAGCUUGGACUAAGAAUAUUCAGGUAAUGCUGCAAUCAAUCACAAAGUAGAAAAACUGCCUCAGUCUGCCAAAUGAAAUCAGAGAAGGCUAUCUCAGAACCUUGCCAAGUGACCUUGUGGUAGGUG
RNAcentral lists this long non-coding RNA (450 nucleotides) under Capra hircus (goat). RNAcentral's name for it is "lncRNA (ENSCHIG00000007983.1)". Lineage: Eukaryota; Metazoa; Chordata; Mammalia; Artiodactyla; Bovidae. The record is from RNAcentral.